UGGGGAAUAUUGGACAAUGGGGGAAACCCUGAUCCAGCAAUGCCGCGUGAGUGAUGAAGGCCUUCGGGUUGUAAAGCUCUUUUGUCAGGGACGAUGAUGACGGUACCUGACGAAUAAGCUCCGGCUAACUUCGUGCCAGCAGCCGCGGUAAUACGAGGGGAGCUAGCGUUGUUCGGAAUUACUGGGCGUAAAGGGCGUGUAGGCGGUACCAUAAGUCAGAUGUGAAAGCCCUAGGCUUAACCUAGGAGGUGCAUUUGAUACUGUGGAACUAGAGAUCGAGAGAGGAAAGUGGAAUUACGAGUGUAGAGGUGAAAUUCGUAGAUAUUCGUAAGAACACCAGUGGCGAAGGCGACUUUCUGGCUCGAUACUGACGCUAAGGCGCGAAAGCGUGGGGAGCAAACAGGAUUAGAUACCCCCGUAGUCC
This 424-nucleotide ribosomal RNA is filed under the name uncultured bacterium. Its description in RNAcentral is "bacterial SSU rRNA". It matches the Rfam family "Bacterial small subunit ribosomal RNA", at positions 355 to 796 of the family's 1533-position model. The record is from RNAcentral.